CUUGUCAAUCAAACCUGGAGCCCAACGCAGCCGCUGAAGUUUUCAAGGCUACAUUUGCUCUCUCCCCUGGAGAGCCAGUUACAAUCCCAAGUGUGAUUUCCUCUCUAGUGUCCCACCAGAGCAACACAUUGGAAGAAAUCCAAGGAGGACAUACCACUUCUCACUUUUUCUAUUAAAUACUCAAAACUGGAAACAACCCAGAUGUUCUUCAACAGGUGAAUGGUUGAACAGACUGUUGCACAGCUUCACCAUGGAAUAGUUCUCCAGCAAGGAAAAAGAAUGAACCACCAACACAUACAAUUUUGAUGAGUCUCCAGACAAUUAUGCUGAGAGGGAGAAAAAAGCUGAUAUCAAGAGAUUACAUACUGUAUGAUUCCAUUUAUGUAACGUUGGUAAAAUAACAAAGUAAUGGAAAUAAAGAUCAGAUUAGUAGAUUCCAGCAUUUAAGGAGGAGAUAAGGGUGGAUGUGACUAACAAAGGGCAACAUGAGGGAUCCUUGUGAUGAUGGAAACGUUCUGUAUCUUGACUGUAUCAGUGUCAAUAUCCUGAUUGUGA
Long non-coding RNA from Neofelis nebulosa (Clouded leopard), 555 nucleotides. RefSeq lists it as uncharacterized. The record is from RefSeq and is a predicted model, not a curated record. NCBI's taxonomy places the organism in Eukaryota, Metazoa, Chordata, Mammalia, Carnivora, Felidae. The transcript is spliced from 3 exons.